This 22-nucleotide small RNA is filed under the name Arabidopsis thaliana (thale cress). RNAcentral's name for it is "ATSL287690". Lineage: Eukaryota; Viridiplantae; Streptophyta; Magnoliopsida; Brassicales; Brassicaceae. The record is from RNAcentral.
UUGAAGAAUAUUCCGAUGCUUA